CUCUUGUUGGUUUUGUCUUUAAUUUACCUUUAGCUAAUAGAUGGUUCUGUAGGUUAACAACCGAGUAAAGAGAAAGCUAGUUAAGAAGAGGAAUGUGAAGAUAAACAGUUUCACAAAAUGUAAACAACUCCUUUGCCCAAACAAAUGUUGUGUGCUUCUACCACUCACUCUUAGGCUGAAAUGGUUUCUGCUGUGCAAGCCCAAAUUAUAUCAGUUCAACAAAAGAUGCUGUUUGGUUCACAAAGCUGAAAAUGAAAUUCACAUGGAGAAGAGGAGAUGAAAAAGAUGAGAGGGAGAACUACUUCCAAUGAGACCGAAAAGUAGGGCUUGGGGUAUGAAGCAAUUUUAGAAGACCUCUGUAAGGAGGUGCAGAAGCUGUAAGCUGUCAUCUAUGUGGAGCUACUUAGAUGAUACAAAACUUGGUCUCAGAAGCUUGAUGUGUUGUGUAGUUGGAAAAUAGUGGUUGAAUAUCUGGCUAUUUUUGGUUAGAGACCUACCUUCUUUGCAUUCCUUAGUUGGAAAAUGCAG
Molecule: long non-coding RNA, 528 nt
Filed under: Anas platyrhynchos platyrhynchos (common mallard)
Lineage: Eukaryota; Metazoa; Chordata; Aves; Anseriformes; Anatidae
Description: lncRNA (ENSAPLG00000025637.1)
Source: RNAcentral